CCUACGGGAGGCAGCAGUGAGGAAUAUUGGUCAAUGGCCGCAGGGCUGAACCAGCCAAGUCGCGUGAGGGAUGACGGUCCUAUGGAUUGUAAACCUCUUUUGUCAGGGAGCAAAGCGCGCCACGUGUGGCGCUUUGCGAGUACCCGACGAAAAAGCAUCGGCUAACUCCGUGCCAGCAGGCGCGGUAAUACGGAGGAGGCGAGCGUUAUCCGGUUUUAUUGGGGUUAAAGGGUGAGCAGGCGGAAUGUCAAGUCAGCGGUAAAAUUUCGGGGCUCAACCCGGUCGGGCCGUUGAAAUUGGCGUUCUUGAGUGAGCGAGAAGUAUGCGGAAGGCGUGGGGUAGCGGUGAAAUGCAGAGAUAGCACGCAGAACUCCGAUUGCGAAGGCUGCAUACCGGCGCUCAACUGACGCUCAUGCACGAAAGCGUGGGUAUCGAACAGGAUUAGAUACCCCUGUAGUC
RNAcentral lists this ribosomal RNA (459 nucleotides) under uncultured bacterium. RNAcentral describes it as "partial 16S ribosomal RNA". It matches the Rfam family "Bacterial small subunit ribosomal RNA", at positions 338 to 795 of the family's 1533-position model. The record is from RNAcentral.